CUACGCACUCCUACGGGAGGCAGCAGUGGGGAAUAUUGCACAAUGGGCGCAAGCCUGAUGCAGCCAUGCCGCGUGUAUGAAGAAGGCCUUCGGGUUGUAAAGUACUUUCAGCAGUGAGGAAGGUGGAUAUGUUAAUAGCAUAUUCAUUUGACGUUAGCUGCAGAAGAAGCACCGGCUAACUCCGUGCCAGCAGCCGCGGUAAUACGGAGGGUGCGAGCGUUAAUCGGAAUUACUGGGCGUAAAGCGCAUGCAGGUGGUUUGUUAAGUCAGAUGUGAAAGCCCGGGGCUCAACCUCGGAAUUGCAUUUGAAACUGGCAAACUAGAGUACUGUAGAGGGGGGUAGAAUUUCAGGUGUAGCGGUGAAAUGCGUAGAGAUCUGAAGGAAUACCGGUGGCGAAGGCGGCCCCCCUGGACAGAUACUGACACUCAGAUGCGAAAGCGUGGGGAGCAAACAGGAUUAGAUACCCUGGUAG
This 473-nucleotide ribosomal RNA is filed under the name uncultured bacterium. RNAcentral's name for it is "bacterial SSU rRNA". It matches the Rfam family "Bacterial small subunit ribosomal RNA", at positions 329 to 793 of the family's 1533-position model. The record is from RNAcentral.